UACGGAGGGGGCGAGCGUUAUUCGGAAUUAUUGGGCGUAAAGGGCGCGUAGGCGGCUGUACAAGUCAAAGGUGAAAUCCCUCGGCUUAACCGGGGAACUGCGUCCGAUACUGGAUGGCUUGAGUUCGGGAGAGGGAUGCGGAAUUCCAGGUGUAGCGGUGAAAUGCGUAGAUAUCUGGAGGAACACCGGUGGCGAAGGCGGCAUCCUGGACCGACACUGACGCUGAGGAGCGAAAGCCAGGGGAGCAAACGGG
RNAcentral lists this ribosomal RNA (253 nucleotides) under uncultured bacterium. RNAcentral's name for it is "partial 16S ribosomal RNA". It matches the Rfam family "Bacterial small subunit ribosomal RNA", at positions 524 to 776 of the family's 1533-position model. The record is from RNAcentral.